UCUCUUUCCUCUCUCUCUCCCCGAGCUCCCUUCUUCCUCUUUCUUCUUCCUUCAACAUACGGACUACACACAAACAUACUCAAACCAUCACUCUCCGAGGAAACCAACUACACCAUUGAACUCGUGAAGCUCGUACGAGUGCAACCAUACCAUUUUCAGCUUGUAGAUGUCUUAGUGAGGUCCCAAGGAACCUCGGAAUACUUCGUUGGAGAAGUUUGGACGUCGGGAUCAUUGUGGUCAAAGUUGGCCGGAGCUUUCGAGGCUUUUUCCGGCGAAUACACGGCGAGUUAGAGGUCGCGGCAGAAAUUCCGGCAAAAACCCACCGCCAGCGAAACCAGUCCGGCGACGCGAGGAAGAAGACGCGCGCGUGGGCAGCGCGUGAACAGGGCGCGUGGGGGCGCGUGAGACCUCUAAAUUGAGUUCUGAAAAUUGUCACGCGUUCGUGACGUCGUGUAGAUCACCGUGGUGAAAAUUAUACAGAAGAAGAAUGUAACCAAUCUAGGGGAGGCUCAGGGACCCAUGAGACGUCGAUGUGAUCAGUUCAAGUAUUGCAAAGGUGUGGUGACUACGAGGAAAUUCAACGGUGUUCUGAUAGAAUGGACCAAAUGAGGACUCACCUUCGGGUGGUUUAUCUUAGAAGUUGUAUAUUUUAAAGCUUCCGAACUGUGUAAAUGGUUACGUCACUCUCACGUGACGGCCAGCAUGCCCUCCUUCGGGACGGGGUGUGUCAGAAAGUAUAUUAAAAGUCUUUAAUAUAAUGAGACUUUAAAAGCUCAUUAAGCUUGAUAAGGAAAAGAAGGCUAAUUGCCUUGUCGGUUACAACUAGAAGGGGAAUGAAGGAGGAUCCCUAAUCAGACCAGCAGAGGGGCCGUGAGAUAUAAAAAAGCAAAAAAAAAAAAAA
Molecule: long non-coding RNA, 901 nt
Organism: Pyrus x bretschneideri (Chinese white pear)
Lineage: Eukaryota; Viridiplantae; Streptophyta; Magnoliopsida; Rosales; Rosaceae
Exons: 5
Source: RefSeq, a predicted model, not a curated record